UGGUGAGGGCGCCCGCGGUUCGCAAGCCGCCUUCUCAGCAGCGAUCGUGGGGGAGAAACUCGUGAUCGUGUCCUCCUCUCCCCCUCCUUCCCUCCCUCCCUCCCUCAUUGGAAGUCGAGGGAUGCUUUGUGAGCAGGGUUAGGCGGCACUCUUCGGAAGAGAAGCGGAGCCUAUGCGCUUUAACCGAAAGCAGGCAGGAAUUCAGCCGGUGAAGCUUCCUCCGCCGUUCAGCUUGUUAAUGUCAAGAAGGGGGUUUUUUUUGCCCUUGGUUGCCGGCCUCCCUAACGAUCGCAGCGUGCCUUGUUUGUGCUGCAAUCCUAAAGAGCGACGGUUGAAAAACUGGUUUGAGCCAAGCAUUUUAGGGAAAGGCGCAGAUUUUGCUGCUUGUGCGAAGUGACGAAUAGCAGAGCUGGGCAGAAAUUAGACUUGCUAGUAUACAGAUACGGAAUUGAAACUGCAGGGAAGAAGGAAGUGUUUCUGCUUAUCCCAUCUUAAAUUACUCAUCUUAAAAAAAAAUAAUAAUAAAGAGAAUUAGACUUGGUUAAUGGCCAAACUGAAAAGUUGAAAAAACAUCUUGAAAGAAAGCAGUGGCAAGCUAUAGCAAUACUAUUGCAAAGAAAGUUCCUUGGAUAUGCCCAUGUAAUCCGGAGAAAUCCAACACAAUUUGUCUUUACUUUACUUGACAUGCCAUGCUUCCUGAUGGUGAGAUCAAAUCUCUGAUUUACCUCAGACUGGAGAUUCUAAUUCUGAAUUUUUAAAAAUUUGGCAGCAUGAAUGAGAGCAAAAGCAAAUCUCUGGGAGAACAGAGAGAAGGAGUAACCGCUGACCAAGGAAGAAAGAACUGGCUUUUACGAGGUAAAGGAGAAGCAGAGGCAAUUCUUGUUUCAGGAGUCUUGUUUAUUUCUAUAGAAAUACGUAAGCGUUUAGAUAAAAAUUUGCUAUUAGCAUUUUGAUUUGAUAUGAGUGAGCUAAAUCUUUAUUGUAAUCUUGUGUUUAUGUCUCUAAAUAAAAUGAUUAAUGUAUAAUUCC
Non-coding RNA from Pantherophis guttatus, 1029 nucleotides. Lineage: Eukaryota; Metazoa; Chordata; Lepidosauria; Squamata; Colubridae. The record is from RefSeq and is a predicted model, not a curated record.